Nicotiana tabacum (common tobacco) is the source of this 2957-nucleotide non-coding RNA. Lineage: Eukaryota; Viridiplantae; Streptophyta; Magnoliopsida; Solanales; Solanaceae. The record is from RefSeq and is a predicted model, not a curated record.
UUCGCAAUUGGACAGAAGUUUGUUUUACUCCUCCUAAUUGCUGUAUCGAUUACAAAUAUUCUGCUCAUAUCACUGUUUGAAUAGAUCCCACUGAAGAGGAAUUUAAGAAUUAUUCUUUUGUGUUAGUGUUUCUGCAGAAGAGAACAUUCCUAUUCAAGAAAAAUACUAACUUUGUGACGACAUUUAGUAUUUGUAUUUGGCUUUUAAUUAUAGAUAGAUUGUAGACAAACAUUGAUUUGCUAAUGAAGAUAUCAGAUAGGGGUGAUUUCAUUUCAGGUACUUCAGACAGGUAAGAUUUUCUCAUUUUGUUUAUUGUGUUCGCAUGUUCAUUAUGGAAUAUAUAGAUAGCAUACAAAUAUUUUAAAAAACUUCCCGACUUUUGCAGGAAAGUAACUAUUACAGGAUCUCAAAGAGCGAUCAGUAUGGCCAAGUCCAUGAUAUCUCAAUAAGUAGCGAGAGUUUCUGAGAGGUGACGUGAUGGAUUUCUAUUUCUAAAUAUUUUAUUUAUUAUUUUCUUAAUAUAUAGCUGAAAUUCAUAGGGCACUAUUCAAGCAAGUUCAGGGUGGAAGCUUCCCUUGCCAAAUCCUGUUACAAGGCCCUAACACUAACAAAUACACAAUUGAGGCAGAGGCGAUGAAAAGAUUUGGAACACAAAUGCUCCCUACAAGGUCAUAUGUUUUUCAUGGAUGGCAUCCCAGGAGGUUAGCAAAGGAGAGGAUACAACUGUGCAACAUGUGUUUACUUGUGGGAAAAGGAAAGUGGAGGGAAAUAACCACAUAUUCCUUCACUGUGAAGUGACUGAAGAAUUAUGGAACAUGUUCCUGAAUAUAUUGGGUGUGAAAUGGUCAAUGCCAAAAUCAACAUAGUUACCUGGAAAGCUUAGUUUAUAUAUAAUUUUUUAUUAUUGUUUAGUAAUGAGUUGAAAGACAACACUUAUCUUCUAUUUGCAAUGUUGAAGCAACUAGAGAGCCUUCAUGAGGCAGCCGCAUUUGCAUCAGUGGAAUAUCAUCACUAAUGUAUCUAAUUUUCUUGAACUUAGAUAAUUGAAGAGGGCCCAAUUACAGUAGCUCCACAAGAUACGAUGAAAAAACUUGAGCAGGCUGCUAGAAGACUGGCCAUAAGUGUCAAUUACGUUGGAGCUGCCACUGUUGAGUAUCUUUAUAGUAUGGAUACUGGAGAGUACUAUUUCUUGGAACUCAACCAUCGGUUACAGGGAACAAGAAAUUAAGCUGCUGAGGAAAGAUCUCUGGGAAAAAAUAUUCUGCGAGAUGAAGAUUGAGAGUAUGAAACAUUAGUUAAAAGAUCCCCAGAUAGCAGCUUUGGAGGCCUAAGUUGAAUCUUAUUAGUUACACUGAUUGUUGCUGAAAUUCUUUGGCAAAGUUUGAAAGUUGAUUCGUUGCACUUAAUUUGAACCUUAUAAUGAAAUUUUACGGUUAAAGCUCACAAGUAGUUUGUUAGAACCCAAUAAUGCAAUUAUGAUGAGGAAUUCUUUAAGUUAAGCAGGAUUUACAAGCAAUGUGUGGUAACUGCAACUUUAAUAUUGCAAAUACGAUCCCAAAGAAAAGUGGAAUAUGUUGUAUGUUAAAUGAAAGUGUAAGAAUUCACAAAAUGAGGGGCAGGAACAUAAGUAUUUGGAAUUGCAGAAACCUAAGGCUUUUUUAGGGGAGGAAGUUAUGUUAUAGACAAAUUUGAGAUCUGAGGAUUAGGUGAAGAUGGAAUCUUAGACUUGGCCACUGUUGGAAUCUCAACUUUAGGCAAAUUUAGGAACUGAAGCUUUGGGACUACUAUGAUCUCUUCACAAGGAGUUUGCUGCCAACAAUACAUUACUGGCCAAUAAAUCGGAAUGACAAACGCAACUCCAUCAAGUUUGCAGUAGACUUGGGCAAUAAAAAUGCAGAAAAGGCAUAAGAAAUUGGAAAAUCAUGGAGCAAAUUUGUACAUGAGGAGCUACAGAUGAAGUACAUGUCAUAUGAUAAUACAGAAGCUGGAGCAGAACGUACUGACAAACAAUUUGUUGCAGCAGUAAACAAACUUCAGGAAAAAAACAAUAUAGUGGUAGUUGCAAAUGGUAUCCAGCAGCAGUUAUUAGAACCAAUGUCAAUCAGAGGCAACAAUCAUGGUUGUGGAAUGAUGUACUCUGAUGUUUGCCUUUUCUUGAGGUCACUUUCUUAUUUGCAGUAGUUGCUUUAUUAUGAGUUGACAUCAUUAAACUAUUGUUUGCUUCUGAGCUCAACAGCCAGAAAAUAUUAUCCUUCUAGACAGUGUCUCACCUUACCUGUUCAACCUGGGUCAAAAAAGAGGCCAACUGUUCUUCACUACAAGAAGAGUCUCAAUGAAUAUACUAAUGGGAGCACAAGUGAGUAAACCGUACAGAGGCUUCAGUUGUUGCAGUAUAUUUGAAAUGAAAGUUCAUCAAAUCUUAACUCACAAUUCUGUUAGAGUAAUACCACAAUAUUUUCACGGAGCUGGUCGUCCUGCUUGACCACCACAUUUAUUGGCACACGUCUUCUACAUGGUAGCGACCACCACGUUCAUUGGCACAUGUCUUCUACACGUCUUCUAAAUGGAACCCACAAGUCUCAAAUCCUGGAUCCGCCUCUGUACUAGUUGAUCUCAAAUUUUCAGUUAAGAGGCCUGAAGUUGUGGAUGUGAUAUUGCCUUUCUUCAUUGAAAGUUUAGAGGAGGGUGAUACAUCAGUACCAGGCUUAUUGAGACUCCGACUCCUUGGUGCUGUUGCUCGCCUGGCGAGUUUAGGUUUUGAGAAGUCCUACCAUGAAGCUGUUGUUCCGAUGACAAGGAGUUACUUAAAUUCAGGUGUUGCUGAGGCAUGGUAUUGCGGUUGUUGUUGAUCAUCAGCUAGAUGGAGAUUCGAGGUAGCUGCCAGCGUCCGCAGGACCCAUUUCUCUGAUCCGUAUUAUUCUCCUAUCAGUAUUUCAGAUUCUAUAUUACUUUCUGUU